Molecule: ribosomal RNA, 253 nt
Filed under: uncultured bacterium
Lineage: Bacteria
Description: partial 16S ribosomal RNA
Rfam family: Bacterial small subunit ribosomal RNA
Source: RNAcentral
UACGUAGGGAGCAAGCGUUGUCCGGAAUCAUUGGGCGUAAAGCGCGCGUAGGCGGCCCUGUAAGUCCGCUGUGAAAGUCAAAGGCUCAACCUUUGAAAGCCGGUGGAUACUGCAGGGCUAGAGUCCGGAAGAGGCGAGUGGAAUUCCUGGUGUAGCGGUGAAAUGCGCAGAUAUCAGGAAGAACACCCGUGGCUAAGGCGGCUCUCUAGUACGGUACUGACGCUGAGACGCGAAAGCGUGGGGAGCGAACAGG